AGUCAUAUGCUUGUCUCAAAGAUUAAGCCAUGCAUGUCUCAGUACAAGCCGAAUUAAGGUGAAACCGCGAAAGGCUCAUUAAAUCAGUUAUGGUUCCUUAGAUCGUACCCACAUUUACUUGGAUAACUGUGGUAAUUCUAGAGCUAAUACAUGCAAACAGAGCUCCGACCGGAGACGGAAGGAGCGCUUUUAUUAGAUCAAAACUAAUCGGCGGCGGGUUCGCCCGUUCGUCGUACACCUUGGUGAAUCUGAAUAACUUUCUGCUGAUCGCAUGGUCUCGCACCGGCGACGCAUCUUUCAAAUGUCUGCCUUAUCAACUGUCGAUGGUAGGUUCUGCGCCUACCAUGGUUGUAACGGGUAACGGGGAAUCAGGGUUCGAUUCCGGAGAGGGAGCCUGAGAAACGGCUACCACAUCCAAGGAAGGCAGCAGGCGCGCAAAUUACCCACUCCCGGCACGGGGAGGUAGUGACGAAAAAUAACGAUACGGGACUCAUCCGAGGCCCCGUAAUCGGAAUGAGUACACUCUAAACCCUUUAACGAGGAUCAAUUGGAGGGCAAGUCUGGUGCCAGCAGCCGCGGUAAUUCCAGCUCCAAUAGCGUAU
RNAcentral lists this ribosomal RNA (602 nucleotides) under Elminae sp. FC_C19. RNAcentral describes it as "SSU rRNA". It matches the Rfam family "Eukaryotic small subunit ribosomal RNA", at positions 22 to 602 of the family's 1831-position model. RNAcentral also lists the same sequence under 13 other names. Lineage: Eukaryota; Metazoa; Arthropoda; Insecta; Coleoptera; Elmidae. The record is from RNAcentral.